GAUGAACGCUGGCGGCGUGCUUAACACAUGCAAGUCGAACGAAGCUGCCCAAAGGAAGUUUUCGGAUGGAAUUUAGGUAGACUUAGUGGCGGACGGGUGAGUAACGCGUGGAUAACCUGCCUUAUACAGGGGGAUAACGGAGAGAAAUUUCCGCUAAUACCGCAUAAGACCACAGCACCGCAUGGUGCAGGGGUAAAAUAUUUAUAGGUAUAAGAUGGAUCCGCGUCCGAUUAGCUAGUUGGUGAGGUAAAGGCCCACCAAGGCGACGAUCGGUAGCCGGCCUGAGAGGGUGAACGGCCACAUUGGGACUGAGACACGGCCCAAACUCCUACGGGAGGCAGCAGUGGGGAAUAUUGGACAAUGGGGGAAACCCUGAUCCAGCGACGCCGCGUGAGUGAAGAAGUAUUUCGGUAUGUAAAGCUCUAUCAGCAGGGAAGAAAAUGACGGUACCUGACUAAGAAGCCCCGGCUAACUACGUGCCAGCAGCCGCGGUAAUACGUAGGGGGCAAGCGUUAUCCGGAUUUACUGGGUGUAAAGGGAGCGCAGACGGCAAUGCAAGUCUGAAGUGAAAGGCGUGGGCUCAACCCAUGAACUGCUUUGGAAACUGUAUAGCUUGAGUGUCGGAGGGGUAAGCGGAAUUCCUAGUGUAGCGGUGAAAUGCGUAGAUAUUAGGAGGAACACCGGAGGCGAAGGCGGCUUACUGGACGACAACUGACGUUGAGGCUCGAAGGCGUGGGGAGCAAACAGG
Molecule: ribosomal RNA, 748 nt
Filed under: uncultured Lachnospiraceae bacterium
Lineage: Bacteria; Bacillati; Bacillota; Clostridia; Lachnospirales; Lachnospiraceae
Description: bacterial SSU rRNA
Rfam family: Bacterial small subunit ribosomal RNA
Source: RNAcentral